Molecule: long non-coding RNA, 1801 nt
Organism: Mytilus californianus (California mussel)
Lineage: Eukaryota; Metazoa; Mollusca; Bivalvia; Mytilida; Mytilidae
Exons: 2
Source: RefSeq, a predicted model, not a curated record
UUUAAAUGUUAUACACAAUAAUAACGUUAUAAUUUUCAACUUUUCUUUUAACUGUUAAUUCGUUAAUUGAUGUUUGAAUUUUUCACAUUGAUACUGCUUUUAGAACUUGUAAAUGGUAUGGUUUUCAAUGAGAUAUUUAUCCAUAAAAAAAAUCAAUAAAUAAAAAAAACCCAAAGAACCAAGAUGAAAAUAACAGCAGGUCACCGAUACGGCAUUCAAUGAUAAGUAAAACCGUAUAGCAGUUCAUAACUGGCCUCCGAGUUGCCUAAAAAUUGAGAAUUAAAAAUUGACAAAGUAUAACUAACGGUCUGAUUUAAGCAAAUAGCAGUAAGAGAAAUACAAUUGUAGCCGACGACAACUUACGUCAACCACUUGACUACAGUCUCCCGUCUUAGGAUAUGAACGUAAACAAUGUGCAAUGUUAAUGUGUAUAUAACUUCAAUGUUUGAGGUAAUUAACGCAAAUAUAAGCACAAAACGUAGAGCUACACAAGCCGGUUAAUCGUUAUAUACCAUGUAUAAGUACCAUACACAAAAAAUACCGACUAUUUUGUAGGGUGCAAGGCACGCAUUCUCUGAAUCAACCUACAUUUAGCACGCUCUUGUCUUAAUUUCGAUCAUUGAAAUCCAAAGACCAAUAUAAAAUUAAAACUUGAACAUAACAAAUGUAAUGCACAAGACAUUUAACUAACUUUCAAUAAGAACUUGGAGAAAAAUUUGAACAAUUCUAUCCCGGGUUGCGUGCAACAUACAGCAAAUUAGAUCAAUGAACUGAAUUGGAAUACAAGGCGUAAUGCAUAGACAAAGUAUAAGGUAUAUUAAGGCGACAGUAGUUUACCGAUGUCCAAAUCUUGUAUAUCGUUUAUGAACAGAGAAAUUAAGGUAUCAAAUGAAAACUGAAGGAAUAGCAUGAACUUUAUAAGUAGCGAGAACGGGAGCCACGAAAGGAAAUUACUACAGAAACAGAGGAAACAUUCACACAAGCUCAGAUUCCUAUAAAUAAUUUUCCUUCUUCUGUUACUUUGCGCCGACAAAUAAACUUUGAAUACGAGGAAGACGAAUACUUUGAAAUCAUAGACAGUGCCUUCGUAGGCAAUAACGUAGUGUUUCCUGAUUACAACAGUUCCAGGUUAAUUAUCAGCACGGUAGACAGUAAUGAUAUCCGUCAUAUGGACAUGGAUUACUACCCAAGAUAUAUAACAGCAGUAAAUUAUAACUCCUUGGCAGUAGCCUGUACAAGACACUUUGUCAUACAGAUUAUAGAUAUAUCAAAAGACACCGUUGUACGGACAAUUCCAACCAGCAGUGAAUGUGUUGGAAUAUCAUACAGCGAAGAUAAAUUAUAUGUUGAUGCUAGUGAUAUAGAAGUAAUGGAUCUAUAUGGUCAUGUAUUGCGCACCUUUCCAAGUCCUGGUGUUGAUCUCGGCUAUUUAACAGUAGACGGAGACAGGUUUUUCUUUUGUGACGCAUUCACGUUAUUUUGUUGUGAUCUAAACGGUAAUGUUAAAUGGGAAGGCUAUAAGGAUAUUUACGGCAUGGCAACAGAUUCGAAGGGAAAUGUUUAUUUGGCUAAUGUUGAUAGUGAUAGAAUUGUGGUUAUUUCCCCUGAUGGUAGUCAUCAUAAGGAUAUUCUGACUGACUUUGAUUCUCUUGAAUCACCAAUAUCACUUGACUUUGACAAAAAGAAAAACCUAAUGGUUGUUCGUACCACUGGGAAUACUAGUGCAUACAAUUUGAUGUUACAUAUUAUGGUUGAUUUGAUGGUGUACAUUCAUCGAAAUGGAUAUAAAAUGUCGCAUUUA